AAACUAAAAAAAAAAAAAACAAAAAAAAAAAACCUUAAAAAAAAAGGAAAACCAUUUCUCUCAAGUCUAAAUUCUUGGGUCCAUGUGCUAAAGAUAAAAUGAAUUUCAAUUGCUAGUGGAAAAAAUCAGCAAUUGUAUGACUUUUGCAAGAGCUAGUUUCUUAAACGGAAAUUGAGUCCUAUUUUGUGGGAAAUUAGUUUUGCAGACUUUCUUUAAAAAAAAAAAUCUAAAACUUUUGUUCAGCAGCUGCUCCGCUCUUCACUGCAGUUUCAGACUGAGCUGGAACCUGCAGCAGUCUUUCGACGGACUUUUGUAGUCUUUCUGAUUUUUUACGUUGGAGACUGAAAGAACCACCUUCCUGAAUAUUUAUCAGAAUGUCCUUUCAAUCUUAUGGAAAUGGAACUGUAAAACCAAAUGAAAACAGCAGUUCAGAAGUACUCUCUGGGCCAAGACAAAACCAGCCUGGAUUCUCUCACCCUUACUCACAGUGAACAGUAGGCUACUCUGUAAAUAGUUCUCAUUAUUUAAAUAUGAAUAAAGGUCACCCAAUCUGGUGCUUAGGGAUUACAUAAUAAUUUUUUUAUCUGUAUUCUCUCAACAUUUUAGAAAAUAUGCACAACUCACUCAUUCUGGUUUCACAGUUGAGAAGCUGGUGCAGAGCUAGAUCAAAUGAGUUAUCCCAUACCCUUCAACAAGGCAAAGGAAGCCAGAAAUAGAACCUCAUUUAUUUUUCUGAAAGGAUUUCAAUGGAACAGGGUAGCAUUCUAUUAGAUUUUCUUUCUGUUUCUGCACCAUUUCCAGAAAGCUUUAUUUCUAAGAAAAGAUGCCUACUGUAUCUGUUUUUAUUAGCCAUUUCUUAGACCGUCAGUGAUGCUUUCUGAUCCAAACAAACUCUUAUUCCAAAUGCAGAAGAAAAAAAAUUACCACAGGUAGCAAAUCUAUGAAUCUGAAUGAUUUAAGGCUUUCAUGCAGAUUAAUGGAGUGUUUUAUUCUAUUUCCCAGAAUUUAUGUGUUUGUUUUCUCAUAAUAAAGGAAGUUUCUAGCUUCUGGUUGUGAAGAUAGCCUUGACAAUGUAAACCAACAUACUUUCAUCUUGUUGAGUCCUCAUCCUCACCAGCUGAAACAAUAGCAUCAAGCAAGUUAACUUCCCCCAUUCAUCUUGCCAGGGUGUCAGCCUUGAAGCAAAACAUGCACACUUAAGUACCAACACAGUUAACCAAUUCACUGCUUAUUAGCAGAUUAGAAGUUACUAGUCAGCACAAUUAGACAGUGGGCAGACACUUGUGAUGUUCUUGGCAUGCAAUCACUUGAAAAAGUUGAGUACACUAUUGAUAGGAAAAUAGAGAACAGUCUACUAAUUUUAAAAUGUAUUUUUCUAGAAUAAAUAUCUACA
This is a long non-coding RNA of Motacilla alba alba, 1393 nucleotides long. RefSeq lists it as uncharacterized. Lineage: Eukaryota; Metazoa; Chordata; Aves; Passeriformes; Motacillidae. The transcript is spliced from 3 exons. The record is from RefSeq and is a predicted model, not a curated record.